UAAUACAUCGGAACAUGUCCUGUAGUGGGGGAUAGCCCGGCGAAAGCCGGAUUAAUACCGCAUACGAUCUACGGAUGAAAGCGGGGGACCUUCGGGCCUCGCGCUAUAGGGUUGGCCGAUGGCUGAUUAGCUAGUUGGUGGGGUAAAGGCCUACCAAGGCGACGAUCAGUAGCUGGUCUGAGAGGACGACCAGCCACACUGGGACUGAGACACGGCCCAGACUCCUACGGGAGGCAGCAGUGGGGAAUUUUGGACAAUGGGCGAAAGCCUGAUCCAGCAAUGCCGCGUGUGUGAAGAAGGCCUUCGGGUUGUAAAGCACUUUUGUCCGGAAAGAAAUCCUUGGCCCUAAUACGGUCGGGGGAUGACG
Molecule: ribosomal RNA, 367 nt
Filed under: Burkholderia sp. RZ5MS5
Lineage: Bacteria; Pseudomonadati; Pseudomonadota; Betaproteobacteria; Burkholderiales; Burkholderiaceae
Description: bacterial SSU rRNA
Rfam family: Bacterial small subunit ribosomal RNA
Source: RNAcentral